Molecule: ribosomal RNA, 368 nt
Filed under: uncultured organism
Description: bacterial SSU rRNA
Rfam family: Bacterial small subunit ribosomal RNA
Source: RNAcentral
CGAAGGAUCCAAGCGUUAUCCGGAUUUAUUGGGUUUAAAGGGUGCGUAGGCGGACUAUUAAGUCAGUGGUGAAAGCCUGCAGCUUAACUGCAGAACUGCCAUUGAUACUGAUGGUCUUGAGUACAUUUGAGGUGGGCGGAAUGUGUCAUGUAGUGGUGAAAUACUUAGAUAUGACACAGAACUCCGAUUGCGAAGGCAGCUCACUAAACUGUAACUGACGCUGAGGCACGAAAGCGUGGGGAUCAAACAGGAUUAGAUACCCUGGUAGUCCACGCCCUAAACGAUGAUUACUCGAUGUGUGCGAUACACUGUACGCGUCUGAGCGAAAGCAUUAAGUAAUCCACCUGGGGAGUACGGCCGCAAGGCUG